Physeter macrocephalus (sperm whale) is the source of this 527-nucleotide long non-coding RNA. Lineage: Eukaryota; Metazoa; Chordata; Mammalia; Artiodactyla; Physeteridae. The record is from Ensembl.
GCUCCUGCCGCACUGCUGGUGGGAGUGGUAAUUGGGGUUCUGAGCUCACGAGUGACGUGGCUGUCACGUGAGCAGGAGCCGACGUGUGCAGACGUCCUUCUAAUCCCGGUCUUUCGCUUGGUCCGGUUGCCAUCUCCCUAUUACCUCGAGGGCUGGCGGGCCUGUGGCCAGGAGAGGAGGAGGAGUAGGGCGCUGUACCACUCGGAGCAAAGGAAUAAAGAAUCUGCCCCGAACCCCUGCAAGUCAGUGUAAAGGACCUUGGAUUCGGAAAGUCUGGUGUUGGGACUGUCUUAAGUGCUGUUCUGUCUGCCUAGCAAUCUGUCUCUGCCCUGUCGCCUGUCUGUGUUUUUGGAUCUUGCGGCUGAAGGCCAAUCCAACUCUAGGAGCAGGAAGAAGAGGAAAACUGUCCAGAAACAAGUCCCCCAGUAUCUGUAGCUGCAGCAGAGCCUGCUGGCUGUAGCUGAAGACUCCACAGCCCCCUCCCCCUGCCCCCUGACUUGGGAGCACUCUUCUGGCCAGAGCAAACC